Molecule: transfer RNA, 74 nt
Filed under: bacterium
Lineage: Bacteria
Also listed under: 3 other names
Description: tRNA-Arg
Rfam family: tRNA
About the family: Transfer RNA (tRNA) molecules are approximately 80 nucleotides in length. Their secondary structure includes four short double-helical elements and three loops (D, anti-codon, and T loops). Further hydrogen bonds mediate the characteristic L-shaped molecular structure. tRNAs have two regions of fundamental functional importance: the anti-codon, which is responsible for specific mRNA codon recognition, and the 3' end, to which the tRNAs corresponding amino acid is attached (by aminoacyl-tRNA synthetases). tRNAs cope with the degeneracy of the genetic code in two manners: having more than one tRNA (with a specific anti-codon) for a particular amino acid; and 'wobble' base-pairing, i.e. permitting non-standard base-pairing at the 3rd anti-codon position.
Source: RNAcentral
GCGCCCGUAGCUCAGAUGGAUAGAGCGGCAGACUCCGGAUCUGCAGGCCACGCGUUCGAAUCGCGUCGGGCGCU